This 1553-nucleotide ribosomal RNA is filed under the name Brevibacillus sp. VP. RNAcentral describes it as "bacterial LSU rRNA". It matches the Rfam family "Bacterial large subunit ribosomal RNA", at positions 1 to 1551 of the family's 2925-position model. The record is from RNAcentral. Lineage: Bacteria; Bacillati; Bacillota; Bacilli; Caryophanales; Paenibacillaceae.
GUGGUUAAGUUAAUAAGGGCACACGGUGGAUGCCUUGGCGUUAGGAGCCGAAGAAGGACGCAGCGAACUGCGAUAAGCCUCGGGGAGUGGUAAGCACACUUUGAUCCGGGGAUUUCCGAAUGGGGGAACCCACCAUCUGUAAUGGGAUGGUAUCCUUCACUGAAUACAUAGGUGAUGAGAAGGCAGACCCGGUGAACUGAAACAUCUAAGUAGCCGGAGGAAGAGAAAACAAUAGUGAUUCCGUCAGUAGUGGCGAGCGAACGCGGAAGAGCCUAAACCGUAGGAUUUAUCCUACGGGGUUGUGGGGCGUUUCAUAUAGGAGUUACAAAAGACAGAUGUAGGUGAACAGUUUGGGAAGACUGACCAAAGAGCGUGAUAGUCGCGUAACCCAAACAUCUGUCUCUCCGAGACCAACCCCGAGUAGCGCGGGACACGUGAAAUCCCGUGUGAAUCUGGCAGGACCAUCUGCUAAGGCUAAAUACUACCUAACGACCGAUAGUGAACCAGUACCGUGAGGGAAAGGUGAAAAGCACCCCGGGAGGGGAGUGAAAUAGUACCUGAAACCGUGUGCUUACAAAUAGUCGGAGCACUUUCUAUGUGUGACGGCGUGCCUUUUGUAGAAUGAACCGGCGAGUUACGAUAGCGUGCGAGGUUAAGUCGAAGAGACGGAGCCGCAGCGAAAGCGAGUCUGAAUAGGGCGAAAGUACGUUGUCGUAGACCCGAAACCGUGUGAUCUAGCCAUGUCCAGGGUGAAGGUAGGGUAACACCUACUGGAGGCCCGAACCCACGCACGUUGAAAAGUGCGGGGAUGAGGUGUGGCUAGCGGUGAAAUUCCAAUCGAACUCGGAGAUAGCUGGUUCUCCCCGAAAUAGCUUUAGGGCUAGCCUCGGAUUUAGAGUCUUGGAGGUAGAGCACUGAUUGGACUAGGGGCCCUCAUCGGGUUACCGAAUUCAGUCAAACUCCGAAUGCCAAGUACUUAUAUCCGGGAGUCAGACGGUGAGUGCUAAGAUCCAUCGUCAAAAGGGAAACAGCCCAGACCAUCAGCUAAGGCCCCCAAGUGUAUGUUAAGUGGGAAACGAUGUGGAGUUGCCCAGACAACCAGGAUGUUGGCUUAGAAGCAGCCACCAUUUAAAGAGUGCGUAAUAGCUCACUGGUCGAGUGACUCUGCGCGGAAAAUGUAACGGGGCUAAACAUACCGCCGAAGCUAUGGCAGUCCUUAUGGACUGGGUAGGGGAGCGUUCCAAGCAGCAGUGAAGCCGUAUCGUGAGGAGCGGUGGAGCGCUUGGAAGUGAGAAUGCCGGUGUAAGUAGCGAAAAGACAAGUGAGAAUCUUGUCCACCGAAAGCCUAAGGUUUCCUGGGGAAGGCUCGUCCUCCCAGGGUUAGUCGGGACCUAAGCUGAGGCCGAAAGGCGUAGGCGAUGGACAACUGGUUGAUAUUCCAGUACCACCUCUGUUCCGUUUGAGCAAUGGCGUGACGCAGGAGGAUAGGGUGAGCGGCCUAUUGGAUGGCCGUCUAAGCAGUAAGUGUGGUGUGUAGGCAAAUCCGCACACCA